ACGGAAGGCAGCAGUGGGGAAUAUUGGGCAAUGGGCGCAAGCCUGACCCAGCAACGCCGCGUGAAGGAAGAAGGCUUUCGGGUUGUAAACUUCUUUUGUCAGGGAAGAGUAGAAGACUGUACCUGGCGAAUAAGCCACGGCUAACUACGUGCCAGCAGCCGCGGUAAUACGUAGGGGGCAAGCGUUAUCCGGAUUUACUGGGUGUAAAGGGAGCGCAGGCGGUAACGCAAGCCAGAGGUGAAAACCCGGGGCUCAACCCCGAGGAUUGCCUUUGGAACUGUGGAACUGGAGUGCUGGAGGGGCAGGCGGAAUUCCUGGUGUAGCGGUGAAAUGCGUAGAUAUCAGGAGGAACACCGGUGGCGAAGGCGGCCUGCUGGACAGUAACUGACGCUGAGGCUCGAAAGCGUGGGGAGCAAACAGGAUUAGAUACCCUGGUA
Molecule: ribosomal RNA, 437 nt
Filed under: uncultured Lachnospiraceae bacterium
Lineage: Bacteria; Bacillati; Bacillota; Clostridia; Lachnospirales; Lachnospiraceae
Description: bacterial SSU rRNA
Rfam family: Bacterial small subunit ribosomal RNA
Source: RNAcentral